Molecule: ribosomal RNA, 206 nt
Filed under: uncultured bacterium
Lineage: Bacteria
Description: partial 16S ribosomal RNA
Rfam family: Bacterial small subunit ribosomal RNA
Source: RNAcentral
CGCGUAGGCGGUCUGCUAAGUUGGAUGUGAAAACUCUGGGCUUAACCCAGAGCCUGCAUUCAAAACUGACAGGCUAGAGUUCUGGAGGGGAUAGCGGAAUUCCUGGUGUAGCGGUGAAAUGCGUAGAUAUCAGGAGGAACACCGGUGGCGAAGGCGGCUAUCUGGACAGAGUCUGACGCUGAGGCGCGAAAGCUAGGGAGCAAACA